CUUGUGGGGAAUGUUGUCUGGUUCAAGGAGAUAACAUUAUCUUUACAACAUAUGAUAUAUAUAUAUAAUAUUCGCCGAUUGAAUAAUCGAUUUUAUGUUAUGACUUAGUGUUUCCUCGGACCAGGCUUCAUUCCUCUCAAU
Molecule: non-coding RNA, 141 nt
Organism: Lupinus albus (white lupine)
Lineage: Eukaryota; Viridiplantae; Streptophyta; Magnoliopsida; Fabales; Fabaceae
Source: the annotation of a GenBank genome assembly